RNAcentral lists this ribosomal RNA (434 nucleotides) under uncultured bacterium. RNAcentral describes it as "partial 16S ribosomal RNA". It matches the Rfam family "Bacterial small subunit ribosomal RNA", at positions 29 to 507 of the family's 1533-position model. The record is from RNAcentral.
AGCGAACGCUGGCGGCAGGCCUAACACAUGCAAGUCGAACGAUCCUUUCUGUUUUAGUGGCGGCCGGGUGAGUAACACGUAGGAAUAUGCCUUUAGGUUCGGAAUAACUCAGGGAAACUUGUCCUAAUACUGAAUGUGCCCUCCGGCGGAAUGAUUUUUCACCUUUAGAGCGGCCCGCCCUUGAUUAGCUAGUUGGUCGAGUUAAUGGUUCACCAAGGCGACGAUCAGUAGCUGGCCUGAGAGGAAGGGCAGCCACAUUGAGACUGAGACACGGCCCAAACUCCUACGGGAGGCGGCAGUGGGGAAUCUUGCGAAAUGGGCGAAAGCCUGACGCAGCCAGGCCGCGUGAAUGAUGAAGGUCGUAGGAAUGUAAAAUUCUUUAACCAGGGACGAUAAUGACGGUACCCGAAGAAGAAGCCCCGGCUAACUUCGUG